RNAcentral lists this ribosomal RNA (253 nucleotides) under uncultured bacterium. RNAcentral's name for it is "partial 16S ribosomal RNA". It matches the Rfam family "Bacterial small subunit ribosomal RNA", at positions 524 to 776 of the family's 1533-position model. The record is from RNAcentral.
UACGAAGGGGGCUAGCGUUGUUCGGAAUUACUGGGCGUAAAGCGCACGUAGGCGGGUCGUUAAGUCAGGGGUGAAAUCCCGGAGCUCAACUCCGGAACUGCCUUUGAUACUGGCGAUCUAGAGAUCGGAAGAGGUGAGUGGAAUUCCCAGUGUAGAGGUGAAAUUCGUAGAUGUUGGGAAGAACACCAGUGGCGAAGGCGGCUCACUGGUCCGAUACUGACGCUGAGGUGCGAAAGCGUGGGGAGCAAACAGG